RNAcentral lists this ribosomal RNA (479 nucleotides) under Charmon sp. Its description in RNAcentral is "eukaryotic LSU rRNA". Lineage: Eukaryota; Metazoa; Arthropoda; Insecta; Hymenoptera; Braconidae. The record is from RNAcentral.
CCUGAGAAACCCGAAAGAUCGAAUGAGGAGAUUCAUCGUCAGCGUAUUCAAUAUAUGCAUGAGUUAUGAUAUAAAAUUUUGUUUCUCACGAAAUUAAGAUUUUUACAUGCUUAUGUCAUUUAAUUGUUGAAUAUCGUCGGCGUGCACUUCUCCUCUAGUAGGACGUCGCGACCCGUUGGGUGUCGAUUUACGGCCCGAAUGGAGUCUUUGAUGUCAUUUUAACGAAUGUUAUGUCAAAGACCAUCGGUGUUAUUAUUCUAAUCGGCUGCCCGGCGGUAAAUAUAAAAAUGGUAAUGAGUCGCAUUUUUUAAAUGCGUCAAGCUCGCCACAAGUAAAAUCAGUGUCUAACCUAGCAGUUACGAACUUUGUUUCGUCGCUAGGCCUGAUUUGCUGUUCGUUGUGCGUAGUUCUUUGACAGGCUCUUAUUAAUUAGUAAAAUAAUUAAUUACCGAUCAGCGACGCUAUUGCUUUGGUAUUUC